AGUUGAUCAAAUAAAUGAUAUUGACCAGAAUUUUGAAUAAUUUAAAAAGGACAAAAGGGAAACUUUACAUUUUUGUACUUAGAAUAAUUAAAUAAAAAACCAAAAAUAAUAAAAUCUACCCCACUACACCCCAAUCUGAUGAAAAAAAAAAGGUAGAAGAUCGUCACUUUCUUCUUCCCUAACUCCGACCCACACUGGUCUUCACCGGAACCCACUUCGUCAAUCGUCAUCGACACCUACAUCGCUAGCAUUGCUUCCUAGAUAUAGUUGGGUAGAUUAUAAAAGUAGAAAUGUCAAUGUGCAGAAUAUGAAGUCAAAAUUGGAGCAAUUUGUGGCACAAAUGGAUCAAUUGAGGGUAUACCCAUCAUUGUUCGGUGUUGCUGAGGAAUUGUGGGUUGAAUUUGGUGGAAAAUGGGCUCUAAUUUCGCCAGUUGGAAAAGGCAAAAUUUUCC
RNAcentral lists this long non-coding RNA (452 nucleotides) under Olea europaea subsp. europaea. The record is from RNAcentral. Lineage: Eukaryota; Viridiplantae; Streptophyta; Magnoliopsida; Lamiales; Oleaceae.